UACACUGGCUCCACCCACAGUUUAGAAUUCAAUUUAAAAUCCUCCUCCUCACGUACAAAGCAAUUAAUGGUCAGGCCCCUUCAUACCUGAAAGACCUAGUCUUACCUUAUCACACUAACAGACCACUUAGGUCACAAAAUACAGGUUUACUUGUGGUUCCCAGAGUCUGUAAGAGCAGAAUGGGAGGCGGAGCCUUCAGUUACCAGGCUCCUCCUCUCCUGUGGAACCAGCUUCCAAUGACAGUUCGGGAGGCGGAGCCUCUCUCUGUAUUUAAAGUUAGACUUCAAACUUUCCUUUUUGAUAAAGCUUAUAGUUAGAGCUGGUUCAGGGAAACCUGGACCAGCUCUUAGUUCUGCUGCUAUAAACCUAGACUGCUGGGGGAUUUUCCUGUGGUGCACGCACAUUCACUCUCUCACACUCAGGGUGCUGAGCCUAUGGUGGUGGAUUGGUGUCCUGGUCACGGUGUCCCCUUUGUAUUGUGUUUGCACUUGGUAGCUUCUUUGUUUUGUUUACUUUUAUUUGCUUCACGUGUGGUGUUCCUGGGAUCCCCUUUCCCUUUGGAUACAGUUUUUCACGGUAGGUCUCAGCACUGAUUGGCUCCCCUUAUGUCCCCUUAAGUGAGUAAUUUUUACAUUAUUUUUAAAACAGAAAUUUAUGUAAUUGUUGCCAGACAACGCCACCUUGGGAAUUUCACCCAGGGAUUUCUUAUAAGUGGACUAACCCAAAUGAAGGAAGGCACUGAGGUCUGUUAUGCAACGAGACGGACGACAGUUCGAUAAUACAAAAUACUUUUAUUUAUACAAAUUUCUGUUUUAAAAAUAAUGUAAAAAAUUACUCACUUAAGGGGAGCCAAUCAGUAAAAAAGUAAAAAACAAAGAAGCUACCAAGUGCAAACACAAUACAAAGGGGACACCGUGACCAGGACUUUGCCCCUGGAGAUGUUCGUCGUAGAUGAUUCUGCACCUUGCAACUCGUGGAUCACUGGGAGAGUUGUGCAAGCAGUUCCAGAUCAAAGAGGACUUGUGUGCCAGAUUUGUAUCAAAACAAGGACUGGGUUUUUGGAUAGACCCAUCACGAAGGUUUGUCUUCUUCAAGAGGCAGAAGAGCCAUGAAGACUUGCAGAUUUUGAAAGAACUGACGUACGUGGACUUUGACUAUUUUGUAGGUUGGAUUGAUUAUUUAGACUAUACAGUAGAUUUCCUGGUUGUUAGAAAUAUGAGAUGUUUUUCUUUUCUGACAUUUAGCAUUUUGUCUCCCACAUAUUAGCAGUUAUGUAAUUAUUGCUUCAGCAUAAUUAGGGGCUGGAAUGUAGGAGUCAUACAUUUUGUUUUGCUUUUGAAUAAAGUAAGACCUAAGUGUUGAGUUAAUGCUGGAAUUGGUGCACAUGGGUGAUGGAUGUGUCACUACCGCGAGUAUGUAGGAAUAAAUCACUGCUGUCCCCAGUUCACUGGUUGCUGGUUGUCAGUCAUGAUGUAGGGUGAGCACGGUGGAGCGGUGAAAUCUUUUGUUGUCCGCAUCAAUGCAUGUUUUGUUUGCUGUGUGUAUUAUUUCUCUCUUUGCUAACAAGCCACGAGUGUCGUGCAGAGUUUGGCGUGAUGAAUAAAGAGUGGUAGAGCCACAGAGACA
Long non-coding RNA from Solea solea (common sole), 1626 nucleotides. RefSeq lists it as uncharacterized. The transcript has 2 exons. NCBI's taxonomy places the organism in Eukaryota, Metazoa, Chordata, Actinopteri, Pleuronectiformes, Soleidae. The record is from RefSeq and is a predicted model, not a curated record.